GACGAACGCUGGCGGCGUGCUUAACACAUGCAAGUCGAACGGAAAGGCCCUGCUUUUGUGGGGUGCUCGAGUGGCGAACGGGUGAGUAACACGUGAGUAACCUGCCCUUGACUUUGGGAUGACUUCAGGAAACUGGGGCUAAUACCGGAUAGGAGCUCCUGCUGCAUGGUGGGGGUUGGAAAGUUUCGGCGGUUGGGGAUGGACUCGCGGCUUAUCAGCUUGUUGGUGGGGUAGUGGCUUACCAAGGCUUUGACGGGUAGCCGGCCUGAGAGGGUGACCGGCCACAUUGGGACUGAGAUACGGCCCAGACUCCUACGGGAGGCAGCAGUGGGGAAUAUUGCACAAUGGGCGGAAGCCUGAUGCAGCAACGCCGCGUGCGGGAUGACGGCCUUCGGGUUGUAAACCGCUUUCGCCUGUGACGAAGCGUGAGUGACGGUAAUGGGUAAAGAAGCACCGGCUAACUACGUGCCAGCAGCCGCGGUGAUACGUAGGGUGCGAGCGUUGUCCGGAUUUAUUGGGCGUAAAGGGCUCGUAGGUGGUUGAUCGCGUCGGAAGUGUAAUCUUGGGGCUUAACCCUGAGCGUGCUUUCGAUACGGGUUGACUUGAGGAAGGUAGGGGAGAAUGGAAUUCCUGGUGGAGCGGUGGAAUGCGCAGAUAUCAGGAGGAACACCAGUGGCGAAGGCGGUUCUCUGGGCCUUUCCUGACGCUGAGGAGCGAAAGCGUGGGGAGCGAACAGGCUUAGAUACCCUGGUAGUCCACGCUGUAAACGGUGGGUACUAGGCGUGGGGUCCAUUCCACGGGUUCCGUGCCGUAGCUAACGCUUUAAGUACCCCGCCUGGGGAGUACGGCCGCAAGGCUAAAACUCAAAGGAAUUGACGGGGCCCCGCACAAGCGGCGGAGCAUGCGGAUUAAUUCGAUGCAACGCGUAGAACCUUACCUGGGUUUGACAUGGAUCGGGAGUGCUCAGAGAUGGGUGUGCCUCUUUUGGGGUCGGUUCACAGGUGGUGCAUGGCUGUCGUCAGCUCGUGUCGUGAGAUGUUGGGUUAAGUCCCGCAACGAGCGCAACCCUUGUUCACUGUUGCCAGCACGUUAUGGUGGGGACUCAGUGGAGACCGCCGGGGUCAACUCGGAGGAAGGUGGGGAUGACGUCAAGUCAUCAUGCCCCUUAUGUCCAGGGCUUCACGCAUGCUACAAUGGCUGGUACAGAGAGUGGCGAGCCUGUGAGGGUGAGCGAAUCUCGGAAAGCCGGUCUCAGUUCGGAUUGGGGUCUGCAACUCGACCUCAUGAAGUCGGAGUCGCUAGUAAUCGCAGAUCAGCAACGCUGCGGUGAAUACGUUCCCGGG
Molecule: ribosomal RNA, 1343 nt
Filed under: uncultured bacterium
Lineage: Bacteria
Description: 16S ribosomal RNA
Rfam family: Bacterial small subunit ribosomal RNA
Source: RNAcentral